RNAcentral lists this long non-coding RNA (1058 nucleotides) under Anser brachyrhynchus (Pink-footed goose). RNAcentral describes it as "lncRNA (ENSABRG00000002726.1)". The record is from RNAcentral. Lineage: Eukaryota; Metazoa; Chordata; Aves; Anseriformes; Anatidae.
UUUUUUCUUAAUGAGGGUGGUGACAACAGUUAUCAUCUUCUCCAGGGUUAAUACCCUUCCACGGUAGAGCUCCAGAAGCUCCUGCCUUUUGUCCUCAGGGAUGUAGUCAGAGAAGAGCAGGUCCCACACAGAGAACUCACCAGCUGGCAUGUCAAUGGUGGUAGACUUCAAGACGUUAUCUAGUUGUGCAUCUUGUGCUGAAACAUCAUCUCCAUUUUCCCCUGCCCUUGUCACCACCUUCUGUGGACUUCUGGUAUUUGCUGCGAGUGUGGUAUUGGCAGCUUCUGUUUUGUUGAUCGUGGUGGUGACGACAGUAGCCACCUGUUCUGUGGUCAGUAUGCCUGCUCUGUACAGCUCCAGCAGCUCCUGCCGCUUCCCCUGAGGGAUGUAUUUGGAAAAGAGCAGAUCCAGCAAGGAAACAUUUUGUCCCUGGAACUCACCAGCAGUGACAUAGAUGGUCGCAGACUUUAAUGACUUUCUCAACUGCUGCUCCUGGGAGUGUGUAUCCUGUACAGGUUGUGGUGAUCCCACCUCACAGCUGGUUGUUACUGUGGAUGAGCUCAGAUCCUGGUUUCCUGUUUCUGCCUUGGUGAUGAUGGCAGUGAGAGUGGUGAUCAUUUCUGGGAUGGUCACCGUCCCCACCUUAUAUUUCCUCAGCAGCUCCUCUCUCUGGCAAUCAGAGACGUAGCGAGAGAAGAGGAGCUCCCAGACGGUGACGCUCUGGCCCUGGAAGAGCCCCACGCUGACGGUGGUGCGGGCAGCCUGCAGGGCUUUGCGGGCGUCCUUGUUCAGCUGGUAGAGCACCGAGCCCUUGUCCAUCAGCUGCAGCAUGAGCAGCCCCGUGUCUGGGUCGGGCACGCAGCGUCGCAGGAGCUGCAUGUAGGUGAGGUUCUCGUGCGUGUUGGGGUCGAAGAAGCCUUUGGUGUCGUCGCUGGGGUCGGAGAGGAUCUGGUUCAUCUCCUGGUCAAAGUAGCCGCGCUUGUAGGCAGCUUCUACGGGGAGGCGGUGGCUGUGCACGGGGUCGAUGAUGCCGCCGGUGGCUAUCUGGGCCUCGAGCA